UUUACGACUCUCGACAACAGAUAUCUUGGCUCUCGCAUCGAUGAAGAACGCAGCGCAUCGAUGAAGAACGCAGCGAAAUGCGAUACUUGGUGUGAAUUGCAGAAUCCCGUGAACCAUCGAGUCUUUGAACGCAAGUUGCGCCCGAGGCUAUCCGGCCGAGGGCACGCCUGCCUG
This 174-nucleotide ribosomal RNA is filed under the name Maianthemum japonicum. RNAcentral's name for it is "5.8S ribosomal RNA". It matches the Rfam family "5.8S ribosomal RNA". From Rfam's summary of the family: 5.8S ribosomal RNA (5.8S rRNA) is a component of the large subunit of the eukaryotic ribosome. It is transcribed by RNA polymerase I as part of the 45S precursor that also contains 18S and 28S rRNA. The record is from RNAcentral. Lineage: Eukaryota; Viridiplantae; Streptophyta; Magnoliopsida; Asparagales; Asparagaceae.